This 631-nucleotide long non-coding RNA is filed under the name Prunus persica (peach). RNAcentral's name for it is "long non-coding RNA (PPER_LNC003638)". Lineage: Eukaryota; Viridiplantae; Streptophyta; Magnoliopsida; Rosales; Rosaceae. The record is from RNAcentral.
UCAUACCAAAAAGGCAAUCUUAGGCUCAUCAAGGAAAGUCGAGCUUCCAAGUAACUUACUGGAUAUUAGAUCAUUUGUUUUAUUUCCCUAUGUUAUUAACAUUUUUUAGUGCUGAAUAUUUAUUUUUAUUGGAUGUGAGAUUUGAGUUUGUUGCUUUAUAUAAUUAUUUAGCAAUUUAAUUAUUUCUUCGCACCUUUUGUUUAUGAAGCUUUAAUUUUCUUUUUCAGUCAUACUAUUCUUUUUGUACUAUCUGUUUUUUUUUUUUUUUUUUUUUUUUUUAUAUUUAGCUUGGCAUUGUAGUCGAGAUGUGGAUGUGAGUUUUUUUUGCUGAAAAGAAACCCAUUGUGAUUUGAGUUUUUUUUUUUUUUGACAGACAAGACACCCAAUAUGAUUAAUUUCAGUAUCUUUUUUUUUUUUUUUCCAUGUUAGGCAGAUUGUUGAUGUUGAAAUUUUUGUGACUCAUUUGAAAGGCAUUAGGUAGAAUUUCUUAAUUGUAAUGAUAUUAUGAGCUCUGACAUUGAGUUCAUCUUCAUCGGAGUUGUUGUAUUAUAUUGAAGUUUGAUAUAAUAUUUAGGCGUGUAAUUACCAAAUUGUAAGGGGUUUUUUGCAGUUGGUGUACGUAACUUAAAAU